UGGAUGACGAAAUGUUUUGUGCCAAUAAAAAUUCUGCAACAAGCUAUAAAAGGAGCGUUGGCCAAGGAUUCAGAGGAUCCGGACAAAGGUUUAAGAACGGCGAUGUCUAACGUUAAAAAUAAGGUUACGAAGCAAAAGAACAGAAACAAUAAUUGUACAAUUUUUGAAAAUCUAAAUAGUACCAUAUAAUUAAAAUGAAUUAAAAUGAAAUGAAUUAAA
Drosophila suzukii is the source of this 219-nucleotide non-coding RNA. The record is from RefSeq and is a predicted model, not a curated record. Lineage: Eukaryota; Metazoa; Arthropoda; Insecta; Diptera; Drosophilidae.